This 2148-nucleotide long non-coding RNA is filed under the name Prunus persica (peach). Its description in RNAcentral is "long non-coding RNA (PPER_LNC001754)". Lineage: Eukaryota; Viridiplantae; Streptophyta; Magnoliopsida; Rosales; Rosaceae. The record is from RNAcentral.
CCGGCAGAGUUUCCCUUGUAACUGGCUCAAUACCAAAACAUUUUCACCUGUCAAAACAAGUAUAUAUAUACAACCAACUGCUAGCAUACAUAUAUAUACAUUCCAACAGUUCAAAUCUCAGUCUAGGGCAAAACAUCAGAGCGACUACUAAAUGUACAAAAGAGUGAAUCUGUUUACAAAACAAAAUCCUACAUCAGAAGAAAGGCGCCGAAGAUGGGAAGUGGCCCGGUGGUGGAUUCCUGUGCACGUCUACUGCCUGGGGGUGCAAAACAACAAAAAGGUGAGUGGACCCAAAAACAAAGUUUAAAAAAUACCAUAUGAACAUACUAACCCCACUGUAAAAACUGUUAUACCAACUAGCUUAUUUUCUUUAUUUUUGAAAUCAAUGCAUGUAUAUAACGAUACAUUUGAAAACAGUUCACCGAGGUGCACCCUAUUUCCGUCAAUUCCUUGUAUCCGUCAAUUCCUUGCAUCACCAUGGGUGACGCAUACUCGCAGGUCUCAGUGACACGAGGUCAGUCCGAGCCGCAACUCGCAGGAUUCAGGGAACCGUAGUCCACCUUUAUCCGCAUUACUCGCUCCACACGAGUUCGAGUACCAAGGAACUCGUGGGGCAACUGUCAAGCAUGCUGACUAAACUGAAGGCAACAAAUAUAAUCCGAAGGCAACAUUUAAUAACUGGGUACAAGGUGGUUUAAGAAAAUAUAAAGUUUCUGAAGAAAAUCUUAUGAAUAAUUAACUUUCUGUAACCUUUAAAAUUCUGCUGCCAUUUAUCUGCUAAUAAACAAGAAUAUCUGUUCCUAUAUUCUUUAAAGGAAAUUUCACUCGGCAGCAUGCAACCUAAAAUAUUUCACAGCUGAUAACUGAAACUGAACUGCUUAAAUUCAUUUAUUAAAACAAAGAGUCCACUCACUGAUAGUUUGAGCUCGUUGGACCUCUUGAAGGUCCCUCCUGCGGGUCAACUGGCGCCCAGGUGCCUGAUUCAAUGACCAUAAUAUUCUAUUAAUACAAUAUAGUAUUAAAUGCAAAACCCUAACCCCGGCUCCUAAAAAGACGUGCGUCAAUUUAAAGUGAUUCCUAUGCCCAUAACAGCUUUCCUUCCACGUGGGAUAGUUUCGCGAUAUCUUGGGACUCAAAAAGCGUUAAAGUCCAAAAAUCAAUCCGGAACCCCACGGGUCCAUGACCUCACAAUAUGAUCUGGAUGCCGCUAGAAGGUCCAAUAUAUUUAGGGCACAUGUCCCGAGGGUAUUGGUGUCAAUCGGACGGUCGGAUCGAUCACAAUCUUGUAAUCGCAUAAUUUCUAAACCCUAGUCCUAGGGUUCGCGAUUUCGGAGUAUCCGGGACACCGAUUCACGAUCCGUCGAAUCCUACACGUUUCUAAAAUUAUCUAGAACAACAUAUCUGAAAUUGAUUACGAUCCAACGGCUCAACAGUAUUGAACCCGAUAAUCGCACAAUAUGGAAAAUCCGUUCGAGGCUCAAACGGUAUCCAAAUUGAGAUCCGCGAAUUCCUAUGCGCUCGUGACAACCUAAGGAUCGCAUCAGAACACAGCGUCACUGCACCACCCUAGCCCACGCGCCGCCGCACGCGCCGGCAGCGAUGGGUGUCCAAAGCGAUAACGCAUCGCCGGAAAAUCUCAAAACCAAGGCUCCAAACUCCUAUAAUAGGUAUAACACCAUAUUUGGAACCACUUUUGUUCUUGGACCAACCCCAAAAAUUGACCGGAAGUGGCCGAACACGGAGGCCGAAAGUCGGCCGAAUUUCAAUUUGCAAACUGAGCUAGCUACGGUCAAAAUCGAUGCAAACCUACCCAACCAUCAGCUAGAGCACGGAAAAUAGGUAGAAAUCCAUACCUUACUCGACAAAUUUGGAGUAGAAUUGAAGGAGAACGAACGGUUCGAAGUUUUGACAAAACCGACUCGUUUUUGGACGGAAUCCGGCGACUACAGCGGCGGCUGGCAGCGGAGAGUGGUCGGGGCUUGAAGACGGAACCGAGCUGGUUCUAUUGGCGCCGACGGCAGGGGCAGAGGUGGUCGGUGGCGGGAGUUAUGGUGCUUGGAAGGUGACGACUGAGGAAGGCAACGGGAGAGGGAGAGAGAGAGAGAGAAGCUGAGGUUUAUAAAAAAAAUCUGAUUUUCCUAAUUAUCA